CUGCCGCCUCUGUCCUCGGAUCCGCACCGCUCUGCUCCCUGGUGUGUUGAUUCUUCCCCCAGCUGCUGCCUAAUGGAGUCCAGGCGCUCGCGUCACAGGAAAUGCCUAUACUGCCCUCCUCACUCACUUCCGGUGGCAGCUCGGCUGGCUCGACGAGCAGUAAGUUCGUAGCCGCCCUCCGAAGCCGGGCGUGCAUGGGAUGGCAGAGUUGGCGUGCGUGCGUGAGUCCACCAGUGUGGCCUGGGCAUGUAAGAUUACACAUAGGAAUCUGGACUUCUGGUUUCUCUUCAAAGAGUUGGAUCCACACUUCUGAAAAACAGAUGGUUGGCGUUCAUAGUGGCUUCUGCUUCUAUACAGAUCUCUGCUUCUAGCCGUCCUUCCACUCUAUCAACUAAUAUUUCUUUUGCAAAGCUAGGAGGCUUGUCUGUUUACAUUUCUGGUCCCGUCCCUGAAGCUUGGACUGAGAGACCUGGUGAGGAAUGUUUCCUCUGUAGUUUCGACAGGCACAGCUAUUUGUCACUGCCUCAGAAGCUGCGUGGCUGCAGAAGAGAAUCGGCCUCUGGUACUGGUGAAGAGACCAGAGAUUUUCAGUUAGGCAUUUUACCUGGCUGAGUGCAGGGCUUGGAGGUGGAGUCGCUUGUGGAAGGAUUAACUAGAGGGAGGAGUCACUGUCAUUAGGAUACCAUACACAUGGCAAAACCAAAUAUAACCACCCACCUCCUCUGACUCACCUACUUAAAGCAUGAAUAACCUGGAGGGGGUGGUGGCAAGCAGGUACAGAGAUGCUCCUUGACUUUCAGUGGGUUUGUAUCUCAAUAAACCCAUUGUAAGUAGAAAAUAUUGUAAGUCGAAAAUGCAUUUAAUCCACCUAACCUACAGAACUUCAUAGCUUAGCCUAGCCUACCUUAAACGUGCUCAGAACACUACAGUAGCUUACAGUUGGGCAAAAUCAUCUAACACAAAGCCUAUUAUAUAAUAAUGUCGAAUAUUAUGUAAUUGAAUACUGUACAGAAAGUAAAAAAACAGAAUGGUUGUAUGGGUACUCAAAGUAUGGUUUCUACUGAAUGUGUAUUGCUUUCACACCAUCAUAAAAUUGAAAAAUUGUAAGCUGAACCAUCAUAGGUCCGGGACCAUCUGUAUUUGAAUGAGUGAGGUGGGGGCCUGAAUCCACCCUCCUCCUCCCCUCACCACCCCAUCCUCAAGAUACACAUAGACCAGUGAAGUCUGUCUUGGCCUUGUGAAACCCUUACCAUCUGAAUGGCCUAAUGAAGUAGAACUUGUGACUGAUAGGAAGACUUUGGAGAGGUUUGGAAUGUUCUUUGACUUACCAGGAAUCUAGUAGACCCAGGAUUAUCCAAAUGUCACCAAACAGUGAGUUCAGUGCCCAGAGGGGAGGCCCAUUAUUAACCCUUCCUUGAGGUAGACACACCCAGUGUAGAUGAGGGUGAUGCUGGGUAGUCCCUGCCCAUGGCUUAGUCUGACCCUACUCAGGAAGGGGAUAUAAUAGGAAUAGCAUUAUGAGAGAUUCUUUCUGUUCUGUACCCCUUAUGUGUUAUAAGAUAAUGGAGGAAAAUCUCAGUUGCCAAACCUGUGUCAGCCACAUUAAAGCAACAGUUACUAUAUCAGUCAUGGUAAAUGAAUGGUGGUCCAGAUAUAAACAUUGUUUUACCCCUUGAUAUUUUUAUAUGAAGCAUUUGGCUUGAAUCUUAUGUUUGAAACAUCAAACAUAGUGUAUUGUCAUAUUGAAUAUGAAUACUACCAGUGUUUUAAUAAUAACUGACAUUAUAUUUGUGGCACCACAGGUGUAUCAUUUUAAAUUCUCUAUAUAUAGCAUUUAAAGUGUAUAGUGACUCAAGUAAUUACUGUUGCUUCAUGUGGUGAAUAUGGGAUGUGCCAGUUUAGCAGAUGUGGUUACUCAACUCACAUAAAAAGGUCACCUUAAUCUGUCAGAAAUCGUGGAAGUCACAUCUCAAGUAGGAUUGAAACAUGCAUAAUAUGGUCCAUGAAGAGGGCACUCUUUUCUUCCCCGCUCCCCUCUCCUCACACCACCUCCUGCUUCUUUUCACAAGCUCUACAUUGUUCUGCAUAGCAACGUUCCAUCCACAAAAAGCUCCAGUGUGUAGGGGGUCUGAAUCCUGUCUGAUCCCUUCCCUAGCCCCAUAGCUCAGACAUGAGAUGUGGUCCAGGGAGCAGCCUAGACAAGUGGCAAUGGGACAUGUAAAGAUUCCCCUUUCUUUUCUUUCUUUAAGUGUUUUUUGGAGACAGGGUCUCACUUUGUUGCCUGGGCUGGAGUGCGGUGGUGCAGUCACGGCUCACAGUAGCCUGGACCUCCCGGGCUUGAGCCAUCCUCCCACCUCAGCUUCCCAAGCAGUUGGGACUAUAAGUGCGUGCCACCACACCCAGCUAAUUUUUGUAUUUUUUGUAGAGAUAGGAUUGUACCGUGUUGCUCAGGCUGGUCUCAAACCCCUGGCCUCAUGAGAUCCUCCCACCUCGGCCUCCGAAAGUGCCGGGAUUACAGGCAUGAGCCACUGUGCCCGGCCAAAGAUUCCCCUGUCUUUUUGGCACUCUUCAGCUGUGCCCUCCCAGGGAAGACAUUAGCUCACUCUGCAGCCACUUGUGCCAUUCUCGUGCCCUCCUUGCACAAGGCCUUGUCGUAACUGCUUCACUCUCCUGGUCUGCCAGUGCAGAUAUCAGUGAUCCAAGAAGAUACAGGAAGAGGCUUGUGUGGGAGUCGCCUGGAGCCCUCCAUGAUCAAGUCUUCAGCAGACAUCAUGUGACCUUGAGGAUGGAUGUCACAUGCUGGAGGAAACAGAAGGCCGAAACCCUGAUGACUUCACAGAGCUGCCAAAACAGUUCCUGACUGUUUACUCCGGGUCUUUAACAAAGUGAUGAAAAGAAAUCCUUGCAGUAUGAAAACAACUUUUCUAUUCCAUGGAGCCAAACCUCAUUAUAACAGAUAACGUGACCCUCAGCGAUAUCCAAGUAUUUUCCUGUUCUCAUCUAUACUAUGGCAAAGGGGCAAAUACCUCUCAGUAAAGAAAGAAAUAACAACUUGUAUCUUGGGCGAGGCAUUUCUUCUGGUAGAACUUUGUACACAGAAUAAAAUAGAUCUGUUUGUGCUUAUCUUUCUCCUUAGAAUUAUUGAAUUUGAAGUCUUUCCCAGGGUGGGGGUGGAGUGAAGCUGGGGUUUCAUAAGCACAUAAUAGUGUCUCUUAGCUUCCGUUUAAAUAUGGGGGUAGCGAUGUGGAGGACCCAGAAGUAUCAGAGAGAGACAGGCUGCUCUGAUUGCCUUUGUAAAAUGCACAUUUGAGCUUGUGCAAAGCCCUGGGCCUGAGCUCAGAAAAAGCAAGGACAGGAUUGAGGCUCUUGGUUCAGUUCCCCUGCACACCCUGGGCGGGGAGGGGUUGUUAGAGUCAUGGAACCCCUAUUUUUUUUUUUUUUUUGACCGGGUCUCGCUUGGUCACCCAGCCGGAGUGCAGAGGUAUGUACACAGCUCACUGCAGCCUCAACUUCCUGGGCUCAAGCGAUCUUCCUGCCUCAGUCCCCGGAGUUGCUGGAGCUACAGCCCCAUGCCACUACACCUGGCUAACUUUUGUACUUUUUGUAGAGACAGGGUUUUGUCAUAUCGCCCAGGCUGCUCUCGAACUCCUGAGCUUAAGACCAGGUUGCUCAAGUGAUCCACCCACAUCGGCCUCCCAGGGUGCUAGGAUUACAGGCAUGAUCCACCCCUCCUGGUUUAUCUUUCUUAAGCUUGGAGUCAUCUUUUUAAAACAGCCACAAUGAGGUAUAAUUGAUAUACAAUACACUGCUUAUAUUUAAAGUGGAUAAUUUGAUAAGUUUUGCCAUAUGUUUACAUCUGUGAAACUGUCACCACAAUCAACAGGGGGAUCAUAUCCAUCACCCACAAAAGUUUUCUCAGGCCUCUUCCCCCUGAGAAAACCCUCCCUCUGGCAGCCACUGAACUGCUUUCUGUCCCUGCAGAUUCGUUUGCAUUUUCUUAAGUUUUAUAUAAAUGGAAUCAUAGAGUACGUGCUCUUCUUUUGUCUGUCUUCUUUCACGCAGCAUAAUUAUUUUUUAGAUUCUUGUGUCUUGUGUGUGUCAAUUAUUUUCUUUUUAUUGAUGAAUAACAUUCCAUUGUAUGGAUAUACCACAUCUGUACAGUUUGUUUAAUCCAUUCACCUGUUGAUGGACAUUUGGAUCACUUCCAAUAUUUGGCUGUUAAAAUAAAGCUACUCCGAACAUU
Molecule: RNA transcript, 4243 nt
Organism: Gorilla gorilla gorilla (western lowland gorilla)
Lineage: Eukaryota; Metazoa; Chordata; Mammalia; Primates; Hominidae
Gene name: cyclin-J-like protein
Exons: 7
Source: RefSeq, a predicted model, not a curated record